Molecule: ribosomal RNA, 492 nt
Filed under: uncultured bacterium
Lineage: Bacteria
Description: partial 16S ribosomal RNA
Rfam family: Bacterial small subunit ribosomal RNA
Source: RNAcentral
AGUGAACGCUGGCGGUAGGCCUAACACAUGCAAGUCGAACGGCAGCACAGUAAGAGCUUGCUCUUACGGGUGGCGAGUGGCGGACGGGUGAGGAAUACAUCGGAAUCUACUUUUUCGUGGGGGAUUACGUAGGGAAACUUACGCUAAUACCGCAUACGUCCUACGGGUGAAAGCAGGGGAUCUUCGGACCUUUCGCGAUUGAUUGAGCCGAUGUCGGAUUAGCUAGUUGGCGGGGUAAAGGCCCACCAAGGCGACGAUCCGUAGCUGGUCUGAGAGGAUGAUCAGCCACACUGGAACUGAGACACGGUCCAGACUCCUACGGGAGGCAGCAGUGGGGAAUAUUGGACAAUGGGCGCAAGCCUGAUCCAGCCAUACCGCGUGGGUGAAGAAGGCCUUCGGGUUGUAAAGCCCUUUUGUUGGGAAAGAAAAGCAGCAGGUUAAUACCCCGCUGUUCUGACGGUACCCAAAGAAUAAGCACCGGCUAACUUCGUG